This 159-nucleotide unclassified non-coding RNA is filed under the name soil metagenome. RNAcentral's name for it is "partial internal transcribed spacer 1". The record is from RNAcentral.
CAGAGUUAUCCAACUCCCAAACCCAUGUGAACUUAUCUCUUUGUUCGCCUCGGCGCAAGCUACCCGGGAACCUCGCGCCCCGGGCGGCCCGCCGGCGGACAAACCAAAAACUCUUGUUAUCUUUAGUUGAUUAUCUGAGUGUCUUAUUUAAUAAGUCAA